This is a long non-coding RNA of Ruditapes philippinarum (Manila clam), 544 nucleotides long. RefSeq lists it as uncharacterized. The transcript is spliced from 3 exons. NCBI's taxonomy places the organism in Eukaryota, Metazoa, Mollusca, Bivalvia, Venerida, Veneridae. The record is from RefSeq and is a predicted model, not a curated record.
ACUUAUAGUGUAUUCGGCUUCGUCUUGUCGUGUUUUAGCUAAUCAGCUUUUCCAUUUUAGUCAACACACCAAAUGUAACUAUAUAAUUACCUCCUGUUUUCACACGAUUAUGUCAAUGAAAAGAAAGGUCGGCAAGGGAAUGUUUACUACCAGAUAUUGAAAAAAAAACAAACAGAGAAUAAUGGCUUGGCAAUGGAUACUGUUUACCGUAUUAGUUGCGCAGAGUUGGAUCGGGGCUCGAUCCUUUAUCUUUGUGACCAAUAUUGACUGUACACACGUGUGUCAUCAUAAACAUCAGUAUGAUAACAAUACAAUUGCCCUUUGCGCAUGCCCACAUGGAGGACACCACCAGAGCCACGAAACUACAGUGAAACCAACACUGUCAAUGUGUGAUUAUCUUUGCUCUAUACAGAUGGGAGGCUCCGCUUGUGAUUGCUCCGUGUCUCUAGUACCUGGCCGGAAAUAAGUCUCUUCGAAGUUUAAUUUCUUGUUACUACUGUUACUUAAGAAAACAUUUUAAAACAAGAAAAAUGUUCUUAUGUUG